GGGCAGGGUUUAAUGCCAGUCGAACGGGGAAUGCAUUUUCGAGGCGGUUAGUUUACUAAGCGCCAAGAUGCUGGCAUCUUAUUGGCGGACGGGUGAGUAACGCGUGGGUAACCUGCCUUAUACAGGGGGAUAACACUUAGAAAUAGGUGCUAAUACCGCAUAAGCGCACGGGGCUGCAUGGCCCAGUGUGAAAAACUCCGGUGGUAUAAGAUGGACCCGCGUCUGAUUAGCUUGUUGGCGGGGUAACGGCCCACCAAGGCGACGAUCAGUAGCCGGCCUGAGAGGGUGGACGGCCACAUUGGGACUGAGACACGGCCCAAACUCCUACGGGAGGCAGCAGUGGGGAAUAUUGGACAAUGGGGGGAACCCUGAUCCAGCGACGCCGCGUGAGUGAAGAAGUAUUUCGGUAUGUAAAGCUCUAUCAGCAGGGAAGAAAGAAAUGACGGUACCUGACUAAGAAGCCCCGGCUAACUACGUGCCAGCAGCCGCGGUAAUACGUAGGGGGCAAGCGUUAUCCGGAUUUACUGGGUGUAAAGGGAGCGUAGACGGUUAUGCAAGUCUGGAGUGAAAGGCGGGGGCCCAACCCCCGGACUGCUUUGGAAACUGUGUAACUGGAGUGCAGGAGAGGUAAGUGGAAUUCCUAGUGUAGCGGUGAAAUGCGUAGAUAUUAGGAGGAACACCAGUGGCGAAGGCGGCUUACUGGACUGUAACUGACGUUGAGGCUCGAAAGCGUGGGGAGCAAACAGGAUUAGAUACCCUGGUAGUCCACGCCGUAAACGAUGAUCACUAGGUGUCGGUGGGUAUGGGCCCAUCGGUGCCGCAGCAAACGCAUUAAGUGAUCCACCUGGGGAGUACGUUCGCAAGAAUGAAACUCAAAGGAAUUGGACGGGGACCCGCACA
This 900-nucleotide ribosomal RNA is filed under the name uncultured bacterium. RNAcentral's name for it is "bacterial SSU rRNA". It matches the Rfam family "Bacterial small subunit ribosomal RNA", at positions 40 to 927 of the family's 1533-position model. The record is from RNAcentral.